This 454-nucleotide ribosomal RNA is filed under the name uncultured bacterium. RNAcentral's name for it is "bacterial SSU rRNA". It matches the Rfam family "Bacterial small subunit ribosomal RNA", at positions 28 to 483 of the family's 1533-position model. The record is from RNAcentral.
GAUGAACGCUGGCGGCGUGCUUAACACAUGCAAGUCGAACGGGGAACAAAUUAUUGAAGCUUCGGCAGAUCUAGCUUGUUCCUAGUGGCGGACGGGUGAGUAACGCGUGGGUAACCUGCCUCGCACUGGGGGAUAACAGUCAGAAAUGGCUGCUAAUACCGCAUAAGCGCACAGUACCGCAUGGUACAGUGUGAAAAACUCCGGUGGUGUGAGAUGGACCCGCGUUGGAUUAGCUAGUUGGCAGGGCAGCGGCCUACCAAGGCGACGAUCCAUAGCCGGCCUGAGAGGGUGAACGGCCACAUUGGGACUGAGACACGGCCCAGACUCCUACGGGAGGCAGCAGUGGGGAAUAUUGCACAAUGGGGGAAACCCUGAUGCAGCGACGCCGCGUGAAGGAAGAAGUAUCUCGGUAUGUAAACUUCUAUCAGCAGGGAAGAAAAUGACGGUACCKACU